GCUAGCGUGGCUCAGGGGCAGAGCAGCUGAUUCGUAAUCAGCAGGUCGUGGGUUCGAAUCCCACCGCUAGCUCCA
RNAcentral lists this transfer RNA (75 nucleotides) under Caldanaerobacter subterraneus subsp. yonseiensis KB-1. RNAcentral's name for it is "tRNA-Thr". It matches the Rfam family "tRNA". Rfam says of the family: Transfer RNA (tRNA) molecules are approximately 80 nucleotides in length. The record is from RNAcentral. RNAcentral also lists the same sequence under 1 other name. Lineage: Bacteria; Bacillati; Bacillota; Clostridia; Thermoanaerobacterales; Thermoanaerobacteraceae.